RNAcentral lists this ribosomal RNA (441 nucleotides) under uncultured bacterium. RNAcentral describes it as "partial 16S ribosomal RNA". It matches the Rfam family "Bacterial small subunit ribosomal RNA", at positions 338 to 795 of the family's 1533-position model. The record is from RNAcentral.
CCUACGGUGGGCAGCAGUGGGGGAUAUUGCACAAUGGGGGGAACCCUGAUGCCGCGACGCCGCGUGGGUGAUGGAGCGUUUCGGCGCGUAAAGCCCUAUCGGCAGGGAAGUCGGAGGUCGGUACCUGACUAAGAAGCCCCUGCUAACUACGUGCCAGCAGCCGCGGUAAUACGUCGGGGGCAAGCGUUAUCCGGAUUUACGGGGUGUAAAGGGGGCGCAGACGGCAGCGCAAGCCAGUAGUGAAAGCCCGGGGCCCAACCCCGGGACUGCACUGGGAACUGCGCGGCUGGAGUGCAGGAGGGGCAGGCGGAAUUCGUGGUGGAGCGGGGAAAGGCGUAGAGAUCAGGAGGAACACCGGGGGCGAAGGCGGCCUGCUGGACUGCGACUGACGUUGAGGCCCGAAAGCGUGGGGAGCAAACAGGAUUAGAUACCCCGGUAGUC